CCUACGGGAGGCAGCAGUGAGGAAUAUUGGUCAAUGGACGAGAGUCUGAACCAGCCAAGUAGCGUGAAGGAUGACUGCCCUAUGGGUUGUAAACUUCUUUUAUAUGGGAAUAAAAUGUUCCACGUGUGGGAUUUUGUAUGUACCAUAUGGAUAAGGAUCGGCUAACUCCGUGCCAGCAGCCGCGGUAAUACGGAGGAUCCGAGCGUUAUCCGGAUUUAUUGGGGUUCAAGGGAGCGUAGGUGGAUUGUUAAGUCAGUUGUGAAAGUUUGCGGCUCAACCGUAAAAUUGCAGUUGAAACUGGCAGUCUUGAGUACAGUAGAGGUGGGCGGAAUUCGUGGUGUAGCGGUGAAAUGCUUAGAUAUCACGAAGAACUCCGAUUGCGAAGGCAGUUCACUGGACUGCAACUGACACUGAGGCUCGAAAGUGUGGGUAUCAAACAGGAUUAGAUACCCGGGUAGUC
Molecule: ribosomal RNA, 460 nt
Filed under: uncultured bacterium
Lineage: Bacteria
Description: partial 16S ribosomal RNA
Rfam family: Bacterial small subunit ribosomal RNA
Source: RNAcentral